Molecule: ribosomal RNA, 468 nt
Filed under: uncultured bacterium
Lineage: Bacteria
Description: partial 16S ribosomal RNA
Rfam family: Bacterial small subunit ribosomal RNA
Source: RNAcentral
GACGAACGCUGGCGGCGUGCUUAACACAUGCAAGUCGAACGGAAAGGCCCUGCUUUUGUGGGGUGCUCGAGUGGCGAACGGGUGAGUAACACGUGAGUAACCUGCCCUUGACUUUGGGAUAACUUCAGGAAACUGGGGCUAAUACCGGAUAGGAGCUCCUGCUGCAUGGUGGGGGCUGGAAAGUUUCGGCGGCUGGGGAUGGACUCGCGGCUUAUCAGCUUGUUGGUGGGGUAGUGGCUUACCAAGGCUUUGACGGGUAGCCGGCCUGAGAGGGUGACCGGCCACAUUGGGACUGAGAUACGGCCCAGACUCCUACGGGAGGCAGCAGUGGGGAAUAUUGCACAAUGGGCGGAAGCCUGAUGCAGCAACGCCGCGUGCGGGAUGACGGCCUUCGGGUUGUAAACCGCUUUCGCCUGUGACGAAGCGUGAGUGACGGUAAUGGGUAAAGAAGCACCGGCUAACUACGUG